GGGGGGGACAGGAGACUGGGGGGAGCAGGAUACCGAGGGGGACAGGAGACCAGGAGGGACAGGAUACCAGAGGGGAGCAGGAAACCAGGAGAAAGGGUGCAUUUCUCAGCUCGUUGGGAGCACGGAGGAGGAAGGAUGCUUGACCAAGUGCAGCCACCACGUUGGAGCGUCUACUCCGGGCCAGGCGCUGUGCCGUCGUUGGAUUCAGUCCUGACAGGACACUGGGAGGCAGGUGCCAUUCACAGCGUCCCCUGACCGCUAGGGUCCUGGAGGACCGCAGGCGGAGCACACGGCCAGAGUGGAGAAGGGGGUGUGGCCUGUGGGGGCGGAGCGCUGGGCUCCCCCCCUCCUCCACCCCCAGCACCCAGCUCAGCUACAGAACAGAUGGCCCGUGAGCCCUGCGCUCCUAGUGGUGGGAGACACAAAUCAGUAAGUUCUUAAGUCAACAAAGAACAAGUCAGGCCGGACUCACUUCAUUCUUUUCUGUGGCUUCGCCCUUUGGAGGGUUUGGGGGAGGGGCGGGGAUCUUGGGGUGAACGGGAGGGGCUCAGUGACCACAGAGGACGUCACCAUGACGUGCUGCGGGGAAAACAAGCAGCCUCCCAUCCCGGAUCUCGGGGAGGAAGCCAAUAGCCCGGAGCUGGCUGAGUUCAGUGACGAGGUCCACGGCUGACACAUUCCUGGACGUCCACGCCAGGCCGGGCCCAGCCCGUCUACACGGACUCAAUACCUCCAGAACCAGGCCUGAUGUUCUCCAGACUCUACAGCUGCGGGGACUCUAGCAGAGGACGGGGUCCCGUUUGGUGCCGGGAGUCCCCCUGCCGUGGGGAAAGGCAGCUGCUGGUGUGUGCGUGCAGGAGACGACCCCACUGUGCCCGCAGGCGCCCAUCUGUCCGCCACGCUUGGGACACGGAGUCUGUCAGACCCCAAAUGGGAUGUUGAGAGAGCCCGUGGGAUGUUCCAUCCCCGGCUGGGUUCGGGUGGCCGGGGAGGCGAUCCUGGUCACAGCCUCGCUGGCCUCUUGCAUUCUCCAGCCCCAAGAGCCAAGAAGUACGUGAAGUCUUUUCAAGUUUCUAGCUGUGCACGUGGGCCGCUCUCUUGUCCCGUGGAAGCACAGACUUUCGUGCUUGCCGCUGAGUGAAAGGCCACAUCCCGUGUGACUCCAGCCAGGUGACUGUCCCAGAAGCAAAGCCACGGGACAGUAAAAGGUCAGUGGCAGCCACGGGUUGGAGGGGACGAGGGACGAGCAGGUGAGCACUCUGUGUGAUGCCGUCACCUCACCGUACCGUUGUCCACACCCGGGGAAUGCGCGUCUCCAACAGUAAGCCCGGCACUCCAGGUAAUAAUCCGGGAACCCCGCUUUCUGGAAACUCACGCUCUGCGUUAGCACCAACUGCUUUUUUCAUAAAAGCAAAACCCCCUUUGGAUCCCCUUCAGUUAGCAAAACGGCGGGAGCAGGUCCUUCGUGAAAGCCAAGCGGCCGAACGCGAACUUUUGGAAAGCAGGGGACACUCUUCGACUGUUGCCACUUCGGCUCAAGAAAGUUUCAGAUGGGGGGGGACCUACAACGCGUCAACGUGGGCUCGUCCAUUGUCACAAGCAAACUCCGGGUGGAAAUAACGGGAGGAGGGGUGUGGGGUGUGGGGCUCUGUACUUUCCGCUCGAUUCUCCCAUAACUCAAGCUGUUCUGAAGAAUACGGUCUGUUGAGAAACUAGAAAGGUCCGUGCGCACGAGCCUAACCAGGGAGCAGGGCUGCCGUGCGCCUGACACCGCGGCUUCCUCCCAGUGUGGAGACGGUGCCCUGCUGGCCACAGCUGUUAAACACUGCUGUGCUGAUGCCGCUCAUUCUAAGUCAAGUUUUAUGAUUUCAAGGCCACUGUGCCCGGGACCCACCCUCCCUGACAACCGACCGCUCUCUCCAGGGCCCUGUUCUGUCUGCCAGACCAGGCCUCUUUAUUGUGGGGUCUCUCCCCUUUAUCACCCAGGAACGUACGGGCAUUAACUUUUAUGCUUUCAAUCCAAGACAGGCUAUAAAAUUAGGGAAGCAGGGCUGCUGUGUAGCUGAUCUGAGUCCUUCAGAGUCCCCGGGAGACUCCUGAGGGCGUCCUGCCCUCCGUGAGCAGAAGCUUCUGGAACAUUCAGAGGACGGGACACGUCCCUCUGCACAGAGAGCUCAGGGAGGGGAGAGGCCAGGGGAAGGGACCUCACGCUCCCGCCCAUCUGCUGGGGGCGGCCUCCAGCAAGCACCCCCCGGGCGGCAGGGGCCCAAGGCAGGUGGAAGGUGCCCGGAAAUCAUCCACAUGACCCCUGGCACACGCUCGGCCACAGGGGAGAACAGCCACCGCUUGUCAACGCCUACUGGGCGCUGCGCGUGUGUCUGCCCACCACAGGCCAGCGAGGAAGGCCAAGGGGGCCGGUUCUCAUUUCCCCGUGAGGAGACGGACGCUCCAGGCGCAAGCCCUCGUCCAAACACACAGCCCGUUGGUGGCGGAGGCAGGAUCUGAGGCCAGGCGGUGGCUGUGGCAAAGCCGCGCUCUCCCGUGUCACUGCGCGGUCCCCGCAGGGACACCAGGCACCAGGCCCUGGGGCGCGGAGAGGGGAGGCACGGGGACAGGAGGUGCAUCCGGACCCAGCAGAAGCCUGUGGCCCGAGAGCCUCGGACUCCUCCUGGGCCUGCGGUCUCGUGCGGCUACUGGGACUGGGGCAGGGAGGUGGAGAGGGUUCUGAAGCGCCUCAGGGCACCGGCCUGACUGCCGACCACCGCUCAGGGCAGCACCAGGACCCAGAGGGGCUGCCGGGACCUUCGAACGGAGAGAGAACAGGACUGAGAUGUGCUGGGGCCAUCACGAGCAUCCUUUUCUGCCACACAGGCUCACUAUAGAAACAAUCAUGGGGAAGAGCAUUUGUGGGUGAGACGCUGACGUGACCCGAAACCAGAGGGACCGAGGGGUCCAGGGGACUCAUUUAGACUCUAAUGCGGAGAAGUAGCACCUCCUUCCAAGAGGCCGCGAUGCUGAGAACACUGCUGCCGCUAAUACCUGGGUGUCCGUGGCACCUGCGGGACCGGCCUCCCAGGUGCAGGGCUGGAGUGGCACCCCUGCACGUGGCUCACCGUCUGCGUCGGAUAAACCAGGAUUAGACCAAGCUCCCAGCUCUCUCCGCUCCAACCACGUAGCAAUUUUAUGGAUCAGAGUUUUGUUCCUAUUUGUCUAAAGCCCAGAGGAAGAAAGAAACCAAGUCCACAGACGAACAUGUAUUUGAAGAGACAUUUCAGGACUUGGGAGACUUUUUCAUCCAUCAGUUUCUUAGGAACAGCACCCAACGGGCCCGGGGGAGGCCUGCACAGCAGGUGCACAGGCCCCGCGUCUGAGCACAUCCGGCCAUCCCCAAAGUCACCAGACUCACCCGACACACCGUCUGCGCGCCAGUCCGUGGACAGACGCUCAUCACGCUUCACCAAAGGACGGCCGCUUCUGGACAGGCUUCCAGAAAGCAGAGUCCGCCCUCGUCUUUUCCUUCCUCCCUCGCUGGGACUGCUGCGCCCGCUCUGAGUACAGUGUCGGGUCAAGGAGGUUGCCCCAACCCCCCCGGGAGCCUUCCCCAGGGGCCUCCCGCGGGAAGCACAGCCCCCAGACGGAGCCUGCGUCGAGCACGGCAGACCUCGGGGCGAAUCGGUGAGGGACAUGCUGACAGAGGAGGCAGGCAGCGCCCACAGCACAAGUCACGGGAUUGCUCCGCAGCAGGGACACAUUGGACACCUUCUCCAGGACCGCCCGGGUCCCCGGCUACCCCCUACUGUCGUGAAAACCGCCGCCAGCCUACCAGCCGCAGAGUCGAGUCCGCGAUGGAUGAUGUGAGUCACGGCCCCCAAAGCUGGAACCCCCCAGCGCCCCGGAGCUCUGUCCCCCUGAGGCCUCACCCCAGGGCGCACAGUUCACAUCCCCGAGGGGCAGGAAGAUGGUCGGACCUCUGCUGGUCAGGCAUCUUCUUCCAUCAGAGGGAUCUCUGUAAAAGGAGAGCCCGUUACCAGCUUAGCUGCAGGGAUCUGGGAACAAAAACUUUGUUGAAGUGUCUGUAAUUCCCGGUGUCAGUUCUGUGUAAACUGACCACAUAAAGCACUCAUUACAGCGUCUUUGCUGGAAAAUCUCACACCAACUCACGCAAAAUAAAGUGCUGAGACCUCAA
Molecule: long non-coding RNA, 4186 nt
Organism: Felis catus (domestic cat)
Lineage: Eukaryota; Metazoa; Chordata; Mammalia; Carnivora; Felidae
Exons: 4
Source: RefSeq, a predicted model, not a curated record